UUAUAUAAAAUACCUAUUAUACUCUUAACAAAGAAAAAAUCUUACCUAUAGAUUUUGAUAACUUAAGGGUACUUUUAGAAAAAAAGAGCUCCAAUUUUCAACUGGUGGGAAAGUAGCUUUCUUAUGUCCUCCAUGAAUUUUUUUUCUUCAUAAAAUAUGGUGACCUUAUUUCCAUGAAAAUGCUACUUUUUGUUACACUUUUUUGUUUUUCCGUUGACCAUUUUUUUUCCAUUUUUUUUCCACGAAUCAAACAAGUCCUCCAUGUUAAGUUUGAACAUAUUUUUUUUCUUUUAAAGAAAACUUCUUGAUCUUUGGAUUUGUUUGGUUUGCAAAAAAAAGAAAAAAAGUAAGGUCAACGGAAAAAAUAUUACUUCCGGACUGAUUGAAAAUUGGAAUCUUUUUCUUUUAGUAGGACUCUUAAGCCAUCAAAAUCUAUCGGUAAAAAUUUUUCC
Molecule: long non-coding RNA, 452 nt
Filed under: Phoenix dactylifera (date palm)
Lineage: Eukaryota; Viridiplantae; Streptophyta; Magnoliopsida; Arecales; Arecaceae
Description: long non-coding RNA (PDAC_LNC022017)
Source: RNAcentral